Non-coding RNA from Pelobates cultripes (western spadefoot toad), 483 nucleotides. The record is from the annotation of a GenBank genome assembly. NCBI's taxonomy places the organism in Eukaryota, Metazoa, Chordata, Amphibia, Anura, Pelobatidae.
AAAAAAAACAGUGCAGGAGCUAGAGGGAUGUGGUGUGUCUUACAGGUUCCCCCCACUUCCACCAUCACCACCACCUCCCACCACACCCAGCCACCCACUCACUCACACAGCUACUGGGCAGAUCCGCAGAGCUGUAAGAAGCCUUCAGUAAUUAUAUGGGAUACUUAAUAUCAAACCCAACUACUUCAGAAUGUCCAGGAAAUGAAUCAAUCCAAACGAUGACGCUGCCCUGCCUUGGAUUCCUUGAUUUUGAAGGGUUAGCAUUGAUUCUGUGUGAGGUGCUUGAGGUUAUGGACUAUACAUCAUUAAUCAGAACCACUGCUCUAUCAAAUAUCCACUGCACCAAUACAGCCAGCAAUCCUCCUGCCAGCACCUCCCUGCAUGGGACAUAGUGUAAUAAUAAUCCACACACCAAUAGCACACAGUGCGGACACAUUAUUAAUGUACAGGAGGAGACACUAACGACAACAGACAUUGUCUGAG